UGGAUGCUGAAAGCUGAUAGUACUUGAAACCUUCGGGGGACGAGAUAGUUCAGGUAAUCAGACUUCCAAGAAAACCCGCUAAGCUUCAGGUUAUAAAAACCCGUACCGUAAACCGACACAGGUAGUCGAGGAGAGAAUCCUAAGGUGCUCGAGUGAAUCAUGGCUAAGGAACUCGGCAAAAUGGCCCUGUAACUUCGGGAGAAGGGGCGCUGUCAGCAAUGGCAGCCGCAGUGAAAAGGCCCAGGCGACUGUUUAACAAAAACACAUGGCUUUGCAAAAUCGAAAGAUGACGUAUAAGGCCUGACACCUGCCCGGUGCUGGAAGGUUAAGAGGGGAUGUUAGGAGCAAUUCGAAGCAUUGAAUCGAAGCCCCAGUAAACGGCGGCCGUAACAAUAACGGUCCUAAGGUAGCGAAAUUCCUUGUCGGGUAAGUUCCGACCUGCACGAAUGGUGUAACGAUCUGGGCGCUGUCUCAGCCAUGAGCUCGGUGAAAUUGUGGUAUCGGUGAAGACGCCGGUUACCCGCAACGGGACGGAAAGACCCCAUGCACCUUCACUACAACUUAACAUUGAUAUCGGAUACAGGAUGUGUAGGAUAGGUGGGAGACUGUGAUCCAGCUUCGCUAGGAGUUGGUUAGUCAACGUUGAAAUACCACCCUUUCUGUAUUUGGUGUCUAACCCUGCAAAGCGGGGGACAUUGUUUGGCGGGUAGUUUGACUGGGGUGGUCGCCUCCAAAAAGGUAACGGAGGCUUUCAAAGGUAAGCUCAGUACGCUUGGUAACCGUACGCGGAGUGCAAUAGCAUAAGCUUGCUUGACUGUGAGGCAGACAAGCCGAGCAGGGUCGAAAGACGGAUAUAGUGAUCCGGUGGUUCUGCAUGGAAGGGCCAUCGUUCAAAGGAUAAAAGGUACGCUGGGAUAACAGGCUGAUCUCCCCCAAGAGCUCAUAUCGACGGGGAGGUUUGGCACCUCGAUGUCGGCUCGUCACAUCCUGGGGCUGGAGAAGGUCCCAAGGGUUGAGCUGUUCGCUCAUUAAAGUGGCACGCGAGCUGGGUUCAGAACGUCGCGAGACAGUUCGGUCCCUAUCUGUUGUGGGCGCAGGAAGUUUGAGUGGGGCUGACCUUAGUACGAGAGGACCGGGUUGGACUAACCUCUGGUGAAUCUGUUAUGGCGCCAGCUGUAUUGCAGAGUAGCUACGUUGGGAAUAGAUAAGCGCUGAAAGCAUCUAAGUGCGAAACUAGCCACAAGAUGAGAUUUCCAUUGAGGGUCGUAGGAGACUACUACGUUGAUAGGUUACAGGUAUAAAGGUGGUGACAUCAUAGCCGAGUAAUACUAAUUGCCUAA
Molecule: ribosomal RNA, 1340 nt
Filed under: metagenome
Description: bacterial LSU rRNA
Rfam family: Bacterial large subunit ribosomal RNA
Source: RNAcentral